Molecule: ribosomal RNA, 404 nt
Filed under: Ewingella sp. COS186
Lineage: Bacteria; Pseudomonadati; Pseudomonadota; Gammaproteobacteria; Enterobacterales; Yersiniaceae
Description: bacterial SSU rRNA
Rfam family: Bacterial small subunit ribosomal RNA
Source: RNAcentral
GCUUUAGAUCGCUAGAGAUAGCUUAGUGCCUUCGGGAACUCUGAGACAGGUGCUGCAUGGCUGUCGUCAGCUCGUGUUGUGAAAUGUUGGGUUAAGUCCCGCAACGAGCGCAACCCUUAUCCUUUGUUGCCAGCACGUAAUGGUGGGAACUCAAAGGAGACUGCCGGUGAUAAACCGGAGGAAGGUGGGGAUGACGUCAAGUCAUCAUGGCCCUUACGAGUAGGGCUACACACGUGCUACAAUGGCAUAUACAAAGAGAAGCGAACUCGCGAGAGCAAGCGGACCUCAUAAAGUAUGUCGUAGUCCGGAUUGGAGUCUGCAACUCGACUCCAUGAAGUCGGAAUCGCUAGUAAUCGUAGAUCAGAAUGCUACGGUGAAUACGUUCCCGGGUCUUGACACACCGA